Molecule: ribosomal RNA, 400 nt
Filed under: phytoplankton environmental sample
Lineage: Eukaryota
Description: partial small subunit ribosomal RNA
Rfam family: Eukaryotic small subunit ribosomal RNA
Source: RNAcentral
AGCUCCAAUAGCGUAUAUUAAAGUUGCUGCAGUUAAAAAGCUCGUAGUUGGAUUUGUGGCGCGGCCGUCCGGCGGGGCUCCUUCAUUGGGGCCGUUUGUCUGGUUUUUCGGCCGCCCCAUUCUCGGGUAGUGUGUCGCUGGCAUUAGGUUGUCGGCUUCUUCACGCCCGUCGUUUACUGUGAAAAAAUUAGAGUGUUCAAAGCAGGCUUAGGCCGUUGGAUACAUUAGCAUGGAAUAAUGAGAUAGGGCCACGACGGUCUAUUUUGUUGGUUUGCACGUUGUGGUAAUGAUUAACAGGAACGGUUGGGGGUAUUCGUAUUCAAUUGUCAGAGGUGAAAUUCUUGGAUUUAUGGAAGACGAACUACUGCGAAAGCAUUUGUCAAGGAUGUUUUCAUUAAUC